UGCAGUCGAGCGACUGAUUAGAAGCUUGCUUCUAUGACGUUAGCGGCGGACGGGUGAGUAACACGUGGGCAACCUGCCUGUAAGACUGGGAUAACUUCGGGAAACCGAAGCUAAUACCGGAUAGGAUCUUCUCCUUCAUGGGAGAUGAUUGAAAGAUGGUUUCGGCUAUCACUUACAGAUGGGCCCGCGGUGCAUUAGCUAGUUGGUGAGGUAACGGCUCACCAAGGCAACGAUGCAUAGCCGACCUGAGAGGGUGAUCGGCCACACUGGGACUGAGACACGGCCCAGACUCCUACGGGAGGCAGCAGUAGGGAAUCUUCCGCAAUGGACGAAAGUCUGACGGAGCAACGCCGCGUGAGUGAUGAAGGCUUUCGGGUCGUAAAACUCUGUUGUUAGGGAAGAACAAGUACGAGAGUAACUGCUUGUACCUUGACGGUACCUAACCAGAAAGCCACGGCUAACUACGUGCCAGCAGCCGCGGUAAUACGUAGGUGGCAAGCGUUAUCCGGAAUUAUUGGGCGUAAAGCGCGCGCAGGCGGUUUCUUAAGUCUGAUGUGAAAAGCCCACGGCUCAACCGUGGAGGGUCAUUGGAAA
RNAcentral lists this ribosomal RNA (594 nucleotides) under Priestia megaterium. RNAcentral describes it as "bacterial SSU rRNA". It matches the Rfam family "Bacterial small subunit ribosomal RNA", at positions 56 to 632 of the family's 1533-position model. The record is from RNAcentral. Lineage: Bacteria; Bacillati; Bacillota; Bacilli; Caryophanales; Bacillaceae.